Molecule: long non-coding RNA, 528 nt
Organism: Gossypium raimondii (Peruvian cotton)
Lineage: Eukaryota; Viridiplantae; Streptophyta; Magnoliopsida; Malvales; Malvaceae
Exons: 4
Source: RefSeq, a predicted model, not a curated record
UCUGUUUCUUCCUUCUGUUUCAGUUUAGCUACUUCACAACCUUUUCUUUUCUUUUUCUUUACAACACAAUUUACAACGGUGGUAAAGAGUGCGUUGCAGGCGAUCCGUGAGAGGGGUCUCCGUACUUUCUUAAGGGAGCUCAAGGAUGAUGGCUUCACGAAAUGCUUCUUCGAUGGAAACCUUCUUGUGAUAUUGCUUCCUACUGAAGCGGCUUGUUUGAUUGCUUCCUCCACCCACAGUUGAUCGUAUUCUUUUCACACAAUCACUUAAUGGCCCGUCUGCCUUUAAUUGCACAAAGUGUGAGGCGUAAAAGAAUUGGUAUUGCAGUGACAAUAUGGUUGGAAAUCUGUAGAAUUGCGAUUUGGUUCUUAUUUAGAAUGGGUGCCAGCCUUAGCCUACAUAGUUAUAGACCAAGGAUUAGGUCCUAUACCUUAGAUUUUUAUGCACAACGGGAUUAUGUGAAGAGGCUUGUAUAUGCUAGUGACGAGACUUGUAUUGAACAAGUUAGGAUGAAUAGAACUGCCUUUU